GGGGAAGUGCUGGAAUUGGCAGACAGGCAUGACUUAGGAUCAUGUGCCGCGAGGCGUGAGGGUUCAAGUCCCUCUUUCCCCA
RNAcentral lists this transfer RNA (82 nucleotides) under Chloroflexi bacterium HGW-Chloroflexi-5. RNAcentral's name for it is "tRNA-Leu". It matches the Rfam family "tRNA". Rfam says of the family: Transfer RNA (tRNA) molecules are approximately 80 nucleotides in length. RNAcentral also lists the same sequence under 2 other names. Lineage: Bacteria; Bacillati; Chloroflexota. The record is from RNAcentral.